ACAACCCCCCCCCCCAAAACCCAAACCCCAAUAACAGCAACCCAAAUCCAAAAACCAUACAGGAAGCUGCUGUGAGAAUUAAACGUUGGAUGAGUAGAAAGGGCUUGGCACUGUGCCCGGUGCCCAUUACCGCACCAUGGAUGGUCACUAUGACAACAGGAUGACGAAGAGCACCUGGACUCCGGAGCUGUCAAACACGGUCCUCUCAGAACCUGCCACUCUUAGUGUGUUGACCGGUUAAGCAAAAGGUUCUUGGAAAACAGCAGGUGCAUGAGCACAGCUCUUCCCUGCAUGCUGUUUCUAAAGGCUGGGCAUGAAGUUCCCGGAUGGAGGCGUUGAGAAGGAAGGACCAAGGGCGUGAGUGCUGUGUGGGUUUUGUUUCCUUCUUAUUUUCCCUCUCACACAAGCAGUUUCCUCACAGCUUACCAUUAGGUUGUUUUCUAACCCAGUUCAGUGGAUACAUGACGAAUGCUAGCUGCUAACACCGGUGCCGUAUGCUAAUGAGGACUCCUGGGCCACAUAAACUUGCAAUAAAUGCAUUUGUAUGCUUCCCUCCCCCUCCCCUCCCCCCCGCCCCCAGGUUACUUAGUUCCAGGGCUCAGCUGGGACCCUAAGGGGAUGGAAUUGGAGGUAGCACCCUGCAUUUCCUUGUCCAGGAGAGUCCCGAAACCCUAGGCUGGCAGUUCGCUUCCCCUUAAGUCUACUCUCAGGCAGGCCAGCAGGAGGAGCAUCCUGUGGUGGGGUAGGAGGUAAGGACAUCUAUAGCUUCAGAUGCUCAUUCCAUGGGGUAAUGAUGGGGCUCCCCACACCCCCCCAGCUCCAGGCUUGCCGAGGAGAUAGCACUCACAUUUGUACAGCUUUCAAAGCCCCUGCUCGGGACUGAUUUGUGGAGGGACACCUGACUCAGAGACUAGACCACAGGAGAGAAAGAGGCUUCCUAGACUCCAGAGGGAACAUCUGCCUUCAUCCUUUCUGCUGCCUACAUCAGGCGAGCGCUCUGGUACCCAAUGCUGCUGAAAGCAUCUCUCCCAUUCUUACAAAUGACGUCUCUUGCAGAUAGAAGCAGACGGGGACUGUGUGCAUCUCUGUGGAGACUGGAGGAGCAGCUUUCGGCCAGCUCUGCUGACGUCUUGGCCACAGCCGCCUUCAGUGUGAACAAGGGACCCUCCCUGCCUCUGCUGUGAUGAGACUUAAGUGUGGUUGGGCUGAGAAUCUUGUUGCAGAGCUCUGAGAAGCGGGCAGCCUAGCACGCAGACUGAGCUUGUUAAUAUCCAACAGUGCGGUUCCUGGAGACAUGGAGACAGCGGGGAGGAAGAAAGGGACAGAGCUAGCUAGGAAAGGCCUGCAGGGAUGGGGAGGGACUGGCCCUCCACGAGGCCUCACCAUCACUUGGAGUCCCAGUCAUUGUGUCUUCAUUUACAGAAGAGGUGACUGGUCUCUAGGACAGUGAAAGUCCCUUCUGGUGAUGCUGAGCUGGUGCCGAUGACUGCCAGCCCCAUGCACCUGGAGCAAUUAAAAAUAACCUCAUUAUUGUUUUAGGAGAGUGUUUCCAAAGUGAGCUCACUAUGGAGCCAGGAUAAAACGCAAAUGCUGUUGGAAAUAGCUGUCCUUUCUCGCCGUUACGGUCCGGGUAACUUCUAGCUUUCCUGGAUGGUUGGCAAAUGUCCUGAUGCUGUGGCACAGGAUGGGAUCAGGGCCCGUGGAGUGAAGAGAAACACCAGACUUAACCUUCUCAGAAGGAGCAAAGGUUCAGUUCUCUCCUGGAGGUCUCUUAGUCGUGUGGUCAAAGGCAAAUUCCCUAUUUUCUCAGCCACAAAAUGGGAACAUUUCUUUCGGAUUUUGUGGGGCUUAAGUGAGAAAAAUGAGUAUCAAGAACGUAGCUGUGGGCCUGGGACAGCUUCUAUGGUUUGGACACCACCCGUCGAGUACUAGGAAAGGGCAAACUGAACCAACUAAAAUAGGAGUCCAUGGCUGCCUGGUGUCCUGGUUUCCCUUCUGUGGCUGUGAUAAACACCAUGACCAAAAGCAACUUGAGGGGCAAGGGAUUGUUUGGUUUACAGGGUCCAGUCCAUCACUGGGGAAGCCAACGUGUAGUCAGACUUUCUUUGAGACCGCCAGUUCCCCAGUAAUGACACAAAGGUUUAUUAUUAAUUAUGAAAGCUGGGCCUUGAGCUUAGGCUUGUUCCCAACUAGCUCUUAUAACUUAAAUUAACAUGUUUCUAUUAACCUACAUACUGCCACAUGGCAAUUUACCUCUCUUCCAUUCUCUAUGUCCGACUCUCUCCAUGUCUCGCUGGCAUCUCUCGAGUGCCUAGGUUCAUCCCAAGUUUUUCCUCUCUCCCCAGAAGUCCCUCCUAUUCUUUCCUGCCUAGCUAUUGGCUGUUCAGCUUUUUAUUAAACCAAUUAUAAUGACACAUCUUCACACAGUGUAAACAAAUAUCCUACAACAUCAAGGCAGGAAGCCGAAGGCAGGAGCUGAUACAGAAGCCACGGAAAAACACCUGGCUUACUUCUCAUGGUUUGCUCAGUCUGCUUUUUUAUACCAUUCAGGACCACCCGCCUGGGGUGGCACCACCAUUAAUGGGCUGGGCCCUCCCACAUCAAUCAUUAAUCAAGAAAACACCCUACACACUUGCCUCUGGCAAUCUGGUGGAGGCAUUUUCUAUUGAGGUUAUUCUUCCCGGCUACUCCACCUUGUACCAUGUUGACAAAACCUAACCAGGACAAGUGGAGAAUACACCUACCUCAUCAAUUAUGAUAUCUGUAUAUGGUAGCCACCUUUGUUAACAUAAAAGUACACACAUGUUAGUUCUUGUCUCUCUUUUUGUGGAGAAAUGCUGUGUAGCAUGAAUCUUAAAGGGUCUUAUUAAUAAAAACAAACCUGGACCAGGUAUUGGGGUCAAUGCUGGAAGAUCAGAGAAACAGAUCCAGCCACAGCUUCCU
Non-coding RNA from Peromyscus maniculatus bairdii (prairie deer mouse), 2943 nucleotides. The record is from RefSeq and is a predicted model, not a curated record. NCBI's taxonomy places the organism in Eukaryota, Metazoa, Chordata, Mammalia, Rodentia, Cricetidae.